CUGGAGUGCCCCCAUCCCACGUCGCUGAAGUGGUUAAAACCCCUUCAGACACUUACCUGAAUCCAGCACCGAUGUCCCUUGGUGCUGGGUCAGGCUCCGCCCACGCUCCUGCCCCACCGACAUCCGCCGGCGGGGAAGAUCUAAUGCGCUUGCGCGGCAAUGGCCACGCACAUUAGACCUCCCCAUAGUAAAGCAUUAUUCAAUGCUUUCCUAUGGGAUUCUGGCGACACUGGAGGUCUUAAUGCAUAGCGUGAGGAUGUCCAGCGUCGUUUAGAAGACCAAAAGUCAUCAAAGAGGCCGGAAGUCUGGUAGACAGCCACUAGAGGAAGACUUAA
Non-coding RNA from Pelobates cultripes (western spadefoot toad), 335 nucleotides. NCBI's taxonomy places the organism in Eukaryota, Metazoa, Chordata, Amphibia, Anura, Pelobatidae. The record is from the annotation of a GenBank genome assembly.